Molecule: ribosomal RNA, 400 nt
Filed under: uncultured bacterium
Lineage: Bacteria
Description: bacterial SSU rRNA
Rfam family: Bacterial small subunit ribosomal RNA
Source: RNAcentral
GGGGAAUAUUGCACAAUGGAGGAAACUCUGAUGCAGCAACGCCGCGUGAGUGAUGAAGGUCUUCGGAUUGUAAAGCUCUGUCUUCUGGGACGAUAAUGACGGUACCAGAGGAGGAAGCCAUGGCUAACUACGUGCCAGCAGCCGCGGUAAUACGUAGGUGGCAAGCGUUGUCCGGAUUUACUGGGCGUAAAGGAUGUGUAGGCGGAUAUUUAAGUGAGAUGUGAAAUCCCUGGGCUUAACUUGGGGGCUGCAUUUCAAACUGGAUGUCUAGAGUGCAGGAGAGGAAAGCAGAAUUCCUAGUGUAGCGGUGAAAUGCGUAGAGAUUAGGAAGAAUACCAGUGGCGAAGGCGGCUUUCUGGACUGUAACUGACACUGAGGCGCGAAAGCGUGGGGAGCAAAC